Molecule: long non-coding RNA, 1950 nt
Organism: Phyllostomus discolor (pale spear-nosed bat)
Lineage: Eukaryota; Metazoa; Chordata; Mammalia; Chiroptera; Phyllostomidae
Exons: 2
Source: RefSeq, a predicted model, not a curated record
CUGGGAAUCAAACCAGUGACGCUUUGGUUUGCAGGGCUGUAUGCAAUCCAUUGAGCCACACUAGCCAGGGCCUCCGCUAUUGAUCCUUUAGAAAAGGUUUAAAAAAAUGUUUACUGUCUCUUUUGUGCUUUCAGUUUUGAGAUGUUAAGUAGAUUAUAUCCAGGCUUCUCUGCUUUUCAUACUCUUCAGGGAGAUAGAGUUGUUUCAAAAUUACAAGCUUUUCUAAAGAUGAAUAAAAUAAUUUUCUGGCUGGUAUGUUAAAUAUGUGCAUGCCAUAUGAAGGACAUUUUGCUUUCAUGGCAUGCUUUAGAGUAUGAAUGAAUCAUAACACUUUCGCCUUCUGUACCUACUUAAUUUUCUGGCAGAGAUCCUUUUCAAUUGUUAAUGCCUAAAGGACAUCUCUUGAAAACUAAGUAUUCAGAUUUUAAGGGAGACAUUUAUCACUUUAAGUUCUUUGUCCAUCCUGAGCUCUUUUAUCUCAGGUCUGCUUGUUCUCCCUUUGGUCUUUGAUACAGCUAUUCUCUCAGUACUGUUGCUGGAGCACAGGUCUGGGUUUCAGUUUUUUAUUGGGACCCCUCCCCCAUCCUUCAUCCUCCAAAUGCAGACAUCAGGGUUUCCUUUGCUGCUGUACUUCUCUUUUUCCCUUUUAGCCCAGAAGACACACACGCUUUUACUACAUAGGGUGCAAGAGCCAUUCAUCUUAUUUUUAUUUUGAGUUAUAGAAGCAGUAACAGUCGAGAGUAUAGAUGGGGCUGCUUUGGCUUUCUAGAAACGUUAUAGGAAAGAAGUGAGCCAAGGCAGGGCUGAUGUCAGUUCCCUGGGACGUCAGAGGAAAGGGGACCUUGGAGACACAAUCAGGGGGUUAGCCUGGGAUGAGCUACUGCUGCCCAUUGCCCCCCUGGUUGCAAGUAUUCUGGAGACCCUUAGAGUUUAGGAGAAAGGAAAAUCACUUCAAAAGGAGAUACAAGUGGAGGGCAUGCCAAGAGUCAUUCAUCUUUUAUACAGGGAUCCUACCUCUCAGUAUUAACAGUUUCUCUGAUAAUCAUAAAAUGGCAACAUUCCCGAAGUCUAAACUAUUGACACUCCCUUCCUAAGUUUAUCUUGCCUUUAUCAUCAAAGGAUAAAAUACUGUUUUCCUCAGCACCUGGGAAAAUGGCUUCAAUAUGUUCUCUUAUCCUGGCAGUUCUCUUUUAGUGCAGAAUGGCUCUCUGUGAUGGUGAAUCUUUUCUCUUUAUUGUAUUUAUCCUUCUUUUUAGUUAUUUUGUGAAAUGUUUAUGAGGUAAUCAUCAAGGGAUAAAAGAAAACUAAAUGUGAGAGAAAGAUGGCAGCAUUUUAUUGAAAAGUAUAGUUCUUAUUCUGCCAUUUUUUAAUUUAACAGAUCUUCCUCUUUUGAAGAAGUAUUCUCUUUUAAUACUAUUACAUUUAUCUCAGGGAGUAAAGAUUUCUCUAUAUGUCAGUUCAGAUGUAUGCAUAUAAAAUAUAUUCUGAUAAGAUUCCAAACUGCCAGUUUCAAACAUCCAUGCCUGAUAACUAAUAAUUCGUCUAGAGAUUUUUUUUAAGUGUCUGUAAAUUUAAGAAAAAACUAUUACUGGUGACACUGUAGAUAUUUUUACUGAAGUGAAUUUUAUAAUUACAAGGUGAAUUUUAUAGAGAGUUUUAGUUUUAUGAUUUGCAGAGUACCCUUGCUCCCCCCCCCCCCCCAACUUUUUCUCAUGAUAGUGUUGUGUUACCCCUAAAAUAAUUUUGCAUUCUUUCCAUUGACAUGGUGAUUUGGGACACUUGCUUUCAUGCAAGCCAGAAAUAAAUUUAUUGUCUUAAGUUUCUUCUCAUGUGGGUCUUUGGAGGAGUUUCAACAGUCUCCAGUCAACUGAAGAUUCCAUUGUCAUUAUGUCUGUCAUCUGGAUUGUUUUUCACUGAGAAAGGGGGACUUCAGAGCUACGUAGUUCAUCA